AGCUGGCCUCUUGAAGACCCAGAUGUUGCAGUAGGAUUUAAUGCAUCACAACUACUGUUGCCCUCUUAACAUUGUUGCCUGCUAGUGCUGAGCUAUCUGACCUGCCGUGUGUGUGUGUGUGUGUGUGUGUGGGAGGGAGAGGGGGGGGCUAAAAGCAGCUAAGAGUUAAGAAGCUUUGUGAUCUGUUGUAGAAGUGCUUCAAGUGAGCGAUAGAGCGAGCAAAGGAUGGAGUGACGGAGCUACAGGGUAAAAGAGCGAGAAGGAAAAGAGGAGUAGAUGUAGAGCAAACCAGAGAGAAACAGAUUGUGACAGGAAGACAGGCAGAAAACUAAAAGUUUCUUUUUAAAAAUAUAACAGAAGAAAGCAAAGAGAAAGAGAGACGAAGGGGGGAGAGAAAGAGAGAACGAGAGAGGUGGUUGGUGGAUUAAAUCGGGUUAGAGAGGAUUAGUGACUGUUUUGGUUUGGUAGUAAAUCACAUACAUGUCAGUCACCACUGGCUGCUGCUGAUUCACUUCAGCGUUCACACACUGAAAACAAACUGGACCAGAGGAAGAGGACGACGAAGAGGCGUGAAGUAAGCCUUUUUUCCUCUGCGGGGAGUCUGGACAAUCACCAUGACACAAGUUAUAGAGGACGCUGUCAGUGAGGUGCUGUCCAGUGUGGUGGACGACGUCAAUCACGCCGUCAGCAGAAACAUCGGCGGCGCUGAGCUUCUGCGCGAGCUGCUGAGUGCUCCGUGGCUGCGCGCUCUGCUGCAGAUUUAUGAGUGCCUGCUGCAGUUCGAGAGGUCGACACCCACACCCAUUCUGCCCUACGCCUCAGGACUCUCACAUGAGAUCAUGAGUGCGAUACAGAAGGUCCACCGUCCCUCAGCUGAAGCCCGAGAGCUCUACGGCCUCCUCAGCUCUCCACACAUCCAGGCGCUCCUGUCAUCCCAGGACAGCGUGGCCCAGUCAGACUACGGCCCCGUGUUGCCUCCUCUGCCUGACGACAUGCCCGAGGACGAGGAGGCCAUGAGGGUCAUCUGUCUGGUGAAGAACAAUCAGCCGCUGAACGGAGGCGAGCGCAGAGGAAGUGUAGGAAACGGAGGACGAGUGGUUGGCAGUCGUUGGAGCAGCCUCCGUCGCCUCACUUUGGACCGCCUCGUCCCUGCCAGGAGGGCGUGGUCGCGGGAGGAGCUCCGAGCGACUGCCAGUGAAGCCUGGCCUUUGCCCCUCCCCCGGGGAGGACGCUCACAUCCCUUUCUGCCCCGAUACGAGUCAACAGGAAGCUGCUGUUUGUGUCUGCAAACGUCAGAGCUUUGGAAGAAAGGGCUCAACCAAUCAGCUCCCUCUGUCUGUAGUCCGCCCCCCCGCACCGGUUCAUUCUCAGAGAAACCCAAACAAAGUGGGGGAGAAGGCGCCUCUACUGGAGGGAGCAGCGACGACUACGCCUAUCCUCCGCCUCCAGUGCCAGCUUACAGUCUCAGCCUUCCCAACUCCCCUGUCUUAUACAAAAAGGGGGCAACAGGGGGACGCUCGAGGAACAUUCCUACGCCCGGCAGGAGCCCGUCCUCCUCUUGUACGGGGACAAACCCUCUUAGAGCGCACACGGCACCGUCUAGUCCUGCGCCCCGCCGCUCCACUCGGGAGCAGGGUGUUUGCACUCUGCCGUCCGCCGGCAGGCAGCACGGCUGUCAAACAAACAAACAGCACAAACAGAUUUCAAGUCAUCCCUCGCUGACCCGCUGCUCUACUGCUCCUCGUCAAAACGGAUGCCAGAAGCAAGCGCAACAUACACGAAACGAGCAGCGAGCGAACCGCGAACGUCCCGAGCUCGCCAAACAGUGGAGCAUCGACGAGCUCCGGUGCACCGUGCAGACGGCGGCCAGCAGCAUCGAGCACGGCGCUCAGGACGUGCGCCAUCUCGGCCGGAAGAUGGUGGCGGCGACGGAGAUUAUCGCGGAGGGCGGGGAAGAGAACGCCCAGGCACUCAACCUGCUCGCCGAGGUGGUGGACAAGCUGCAGGGGCUGAUCGUGGCCGGCAAGGUGACUCCUCCACGCCGGCCCAAACAGCCGCCGCCGCCACCGCCUCCAAGGGUCUCCUCCAUAUCUCCCAAAGUAGUCCGCAAACCGCCCACGCCAUACCCAUGCCACCUCGCGUCCUCCUCUUCCUCCUGCUCGUCCUCGUCUUCUUCCACGUCAAUGAGUUCCUGUGCAGGCGUCGUUGUGACAUCGAGGAGCCCGAAGCGAGUUAACGGAGGCUCCAAGAGGACGGUGGUGACGUUUGGCACCGCACACAGGGCAGGUGGCGGUGGAAGUAACGGACAGGCGAGACUGAACAACGGAGCGGCUUCUAGAGCUCCUCUGGAGGACCAACAGGAUGGUGACAGCACGGGCUGCUUGACAACCAAGAAGAAGAAAAAGAAUAAGUAGGCCGACAACCAACCGUCUCCUCUCCUCGUCUGCUGCGGCGCUGAAAAAGACUUAAACGGACUGAAUACCUUCUUUAAACGUAGAUCCACAUCCUAACUGCUAGUCUAACAAACUUUAACGAUGAACCAGAAGCAGAAGCAUCUUUUCAGUUCUUGGACAACAAAGAGGCUCUGGAUUUAUCACUCGAAGGGGAAAAAGCUAAAUAUUUAAAGGGGGCUACGAUACGGAGGGACGAGGAGACGGGAGAGAUCUAUAUCGCCAGGGUGAUUCAUGGAGGACUGGCCGACCGCAGCGGACUCCUCCAUCCCGGUGAUCUGCUGGUGGAGGUGAACGGGAACCCUGUGGCGGGUCUGGAACCAGAACAGCUCAUCCAGAUACUGAUUAAUUCCCAGGGAACCAUCCUGUUUAAAGUGAUUCCUGAUGCAAGUCAGAGCAGCGGCAGCCAGACAUCGGU
Sander lucioperca (pikeperch) is the source of this 2868-nucleotide RNA transcript. It is a transcript of the gene named MAGUK p55 subfamily member 4-like, with no coding region annotated. The transcript is spliced from 11 exons. NCBI's taxonomy places the organism in Eukaryota, Metazoa, Chordata, Actinopteri, Perciformes, Percidae. The record is from RefSeq and is a predicted model, not a curated record.